GACUGGAGGGGUUUGAUUUACACUGCAUGACGAACGGUGAAGCAGAGCUUGCUCUGUGGAUCAGUGGCGAACGGGUGAGUAACACGUGAGCAACCUGCCCUGGACUCUGGGAUAAGCGCUGGAAACGGCGUCUAAUACUGGAUACGAGACGUGGCCGCAUGGUCAACGUUUGGAAAGAUUUUUUGGUUCAGGAUGGGCUCGCGGCCUAUCAGCUUGUUGGUGAGGUAAUGGCUCACCAAGGCGUCGACGGGUAGCCGGCCUGAGAGGGUGACCGGCCACACUGGGACUGAGACACGGCCCAGACUCCUACGGGAGGCAGCAGUGGGGAAUAUUGCACAAUGGGCGAAAGCCUGAUGCAGCAACGCCGCGUGAGGGAUGACGGCCUUCGGGUUGUAAACCUCUUUUAGCAAGGAAGAAGCGAAAGUGACGGUACUUGCAGAAAAAGCGCCGGCUAACUACGUGCCAGCAGCCGCGGUAAUACGUAGGGCGCAAGCGUUAUCCGGAAUUAUUGGGCGUAAAGAGCUCGUAGGCGGUUUGUCGCGUCUGCUGUGAAAACUGGAGGCUCAACCUCCAGCCUGCAGUGGGUACGGGCAGACUAGAGUGCGGUAGGGGAGAUUGGAAUUCCUGGUGUAGCGGUGGAAUGCGCAGAUAUCAUGAGGAACACCGAUGGCGAAGGCAGAUCUCUGGGCCGUAACUGACGCUGAGGAGCGAAAGGGUGGGGAGCAAACAGGCUUAGAUACCCCUGGUAGUCCACCCCGUAAACGUUGGAAACUAGUUGUGGGGACCAUUCCCACGGUUUCCGUGACGCAGCUUAACGCAUUAAGUUCCCCGUCUUGUGAGUACGGCCGCAAGGCUAAUACUUUAAAGGAAAUUGAACGGGUGAACCCGGUCACAAGCGGGCGGGAAGCCUUGGCUGGC
RNAcentral lists this ribosomal RNA (918 nucleotides) under Microbacterium sp. IPB1. RNAcentral describes it as "bacterial SSU rRNA". It matches the Rfam family "Bacterial small subunit ribosomal RNA", at positions 34 to 950 of the family's 1533-position model. Lineage: Bacteria; Bacillati; Actinomycetota; Actinomycetes; Micrococcales; Microbacteriaceae. The record is from RNAcentral.